GGAAAUCAAAGGUUUAUAUGUAAGUUAAAGAAGAGCUUGUAUGGAUUGAAGCAAGUUUCAAAGUAGUGGUACAAGGAGUUUGACAAUUUCAUGAUUGAGAUUGGUUAUAAUAGAUGUCAUGCUGACCAAUGUUGCUACUUCAAGAGGUUCAACAAAAGCUAUCUUAUCUUUUUGCUAUACAUUGAUGAUAUGUUGAUUGCAAGAUCUGAUUCAAGGGGGGUGAAUAAGUUGAAGAAGCAAUUGUUUGAAUGAUUCUCCAUGAAGGAUCUUGGAAAAGUAAAACAGAUUUUAGGUAUGAGAAUCGAGCGGAACAAGUUGGCAAGGAAGUUGUAUCUUUUGUAUCUUUCGAAGGUAAAUAUAUUUAGAGGGUCCUAGAAAGAUUUAACAUGAAGGAUUCAAAGCCUGUGAGUAUCCCAUUGGAUAGUCACUUCAAGCUUUAAUAAGAAGUCGCCAAGUAGCAAAGAGGAUCGUGCCCAAAUGAAGAUGUUCCCUAUGCUUCAGCAAUUAGUAGCAUCAUGUAUGUCAUGGUAUGCACAAGACCGAAUAUUGUGCAUGCAGUGGGAGUUGUGAGCCGACUCAUGGGUGAUCCAGGCAAGCAACAUUGGGAAGCAGUAAAGUGGAUUCUGCGAUACUUGAAAGGUACCACUGACGAAGCUUUGUAUUUUGAUGGCAAUAGUGUUGAGUUUGUUGGUUAUGUUGAUGCAAACUUGGCGUCUAAUGACAUUAAUGGGAGAACAAGUACAUCAAUUUCUUGGACUUCUAAGUUGCAGAAGGUCAUUGUUUUGUCUACUACGGAAGCUGAGUAUGUAGAUGUGACGAAAGUAAGUAAGGAGAUGGUGUGGUUGCGGAAUUUCUUGGGAAUUAGCUUAAGAAUAGCACUCUCUAUAGUGAUAGUCAAAGUGCCAUAUUCUUAGCUAAGAAUCUGAUGUUCCAUUCGAGGACGAAACAUGUUGAGUUGAAGUAUCAUUACAUAUGUCACCUAUUGGAGAAAAAAACCUUGCAACUAGAGCUGUAAAAUCGGGUUGCAGGUAUCGGGUAUACCCUCACCCGUCCCGAUACCUGCCCGAUACCCGCAAAUUUAAAGAGGAGGGUCGGGUGCGGGUAGCAUAUUCUCAAAAAUCACGGGUAGAGGGUACCCGCAGGUAUACCCGAGGGUACUCGCAUACCCGUAAUAUAAUAUUUAAAAAUUAAAAUUAAAUAAUUUUACUUAUGAAUUUUAGGAAUUAAAAUUCCCAAAACCUCCAAGCCCUAAUCGUUUUCGUUCGUCUCUCUCUCUCAUCUAAUUUUAUUUAGGAAUUUUAGGAAUAAUUUUGAUUGUUGUACUUGUUUGUCAUAUGUUUAUUUAUUAUUUAUUUGUCACAGGUUUUAUGGAUAAUCGAUGAAAUAGAAAGGAUAUUUUCAAUUUUUUUUGUGAAAUGCGGGACAAAAUACCCUCUCGUGGGACAAAAUACCUUCCAGCGGGACCAAAAACCCGCAAAAUUACAAUAAAAAAAAAUAUUGCGGGACUGUGAUCCGCUGCGGGUAUGAGGGUACCCGCAGUAUGCAGGAGGGUCGGGUGAGGGUGGGGAUUUCGGCGGAUUUUGUCCCGCGGGUACCCGCAUUUUGCGGGUAGGGUACCCGCGGGUACCCGAAUUUACUGCCCUACUUGCAAGUAAUGAAGAUACAAGUGAGAAUCCAACUGACAUGUUUACUAAGAUGGUGACCGUAGAGACAUUGAAGCUAUGCAUAGCUUCAAUUAACCUUGAAUCUUGAAGAUGAGGCUAGGCGAUGCUAGGCAGAUACGGGAGGAGAACAAGAAGAUAUGGAUACUUGGAAGUGCAGUCUCCAAGUGGGAGAUUAUUAAAAUAUGGAGCCUGAAGUUUUUGGGUUGCUGUAUGAUUCGCUAAUUAGGCCCAGUUGAUUUGAGUUUAAUUAAUUAUCGCUAUUAUAAAUAGUUGUCUCAUCUGUAUUUUGUAUUUGAAAAAUAUCAUAGUGAAAAAUCUGAUUUGACAUCGCCCCUAGUUACAUAUCGUAACGAAUUGGGUAAACAAUUCUUGUGUGUACUUUUGUUGCUUUCGUGAUUUGUGCAUGUUAUUUCCUAAUAGGACCUGGAGGAAUUAACCAACAACUCAAUUAUCAUAUACAAAAAAUAAAAUGUAAAAUACAAUUUAAAUGUAAUGAAAAAAAANUUAACGACCUUGGCCCUGGCUCUGGUAUUUAUUAAUAUAAGUAGAAAAGCAUGCAUCUAUUUUCAUGGGAUGAUCAUCCGAUUGAUAAAAACACAAUCUCAUUAAUAAAAGGUUAUAAAUUUUGAACUUUUUGAUGUGUCUAUGAAAAUUCGUAAUUGCUAUUUUUUAUGUACAUUAAGUAAAUUAAUAUUUUUUUGCAAUAACCUACAAACAUCCAUAUAUUUAAAAAACGAGGCAUGACGAAUUCGUAUCUGUUGUGGAAUUGCUCGAGAAGACAAUCAACGCAGCAAGAACAUAAAAGUAAAGAACACGAAGGCGAUUUACGUGGUUCGGAUUUUUCAAUCCUACAUCCACGGUGCAGAAACAAUAAAUUCUAUUUCACUAUGAACACUCAAGAACUUUACAAUUACAAUUGAGAACUCUCAACCCUAGAAGAAGUGUACAGCCUACAAAUCUAUCAAGAUUGCUAUAAUUCCUCACUCUCAACUAGUUUACAGUAAUGAAAAAUUCUUAAGCUUCAACUCAAUAACUAAUCUAGGUAUUUUAAACAAACGAAUUAGCAGUUGAGAAGAUUUGAGCUAUGCGCCGACUUCUGGAAUGAAGGAACAGAUCCGUUGGAACUGUUGUAACUAACCUAAAACUGAACUCCCUUAACUCUUGCAUAUUUACAAACUGAUCCCUCAGCUAAAGACUAAACACCCGUGCGUAUUUUCGCCAGUCAGAGGAAUCGAACGCUAGAGCAGAGAAAUCAAGACGCCAGCGGAAUCAAUAUGCCAGAGCAGCGAAAUGCUUUACCAGAGAAAUCAGGUUCAGAGGAAUCAAGUCCAUAGUCGUGAACAGCAUUGCUAGAGAAAUCAAAUCCAGAGCAGCGAAAUCAUCAUUCCGCUGACAACCCAUUUCUCUGGCGAGAUCAUAGAAACCGUAUAGACUAAUUGUAUGUAGAUACUUUACUCACAAUUCUCCACCUUAUCUAAUACAAUUAGAAUACACCGAGCUACCUGCAUGGAUUAUACAAACACCUUGCUCUCCUCAAGAGAGCUCAUACCAAUCAAAGAACAACACUUUUGGAACUUAACAGUUGGUAAAGAUUUGGUAAGCAUAUCUGAAGCAUUAUCAUCAGUAGACACUUUUUUUAUUAUAACUUCACCUUUUUCAACUAAAUCCCUAACAAAAUGAAAUCUAACAUCUAUAUGUUUAGACCUCUCAUGAAAAGAUUGAUGUUUAACAAGGUGAAUUGCACUUUGAUUAUCACAAAGAAUAGAGACUACCUGUUGAUUAACACCUAACUCAGAUAGCAUACCUCUUAACCNCUAUUGCUCGACACCUCGAGCAUCGAGCAUUGCAUGUCGUCGAGCACUGAACCUUAUUCAAAUUUCAGGCGAAGCAGAGGCGGAGGAGCAGCGCAGUUAGGCGAGGCGAAAGAGCAGCGCGGCGAGGUGAGGCGAGGCGAGCUAUGUCAGAGGCGAGACGUGGCGAGGUGGAGGGGAAGCCGACAGAUCUGGACAGAGAGAGAGAGAGAGAAAGAGUCGUCCUUGUCGAGCAACUGUCGUUGUUCUAUAUCGCUCGACUUGUAAACUUUGCUCGACAUAUAUAACUUGUCGAGCAUGUCGAGCAAUUAUCGUUGUUCUACAUCGCUCGACUUACAAACGUUGCUCGGCAUGCUCGAUAAGUCAAGCAUGUCGAGCAACAGUUCUAAAUGCUUUAUGCUCGACAUGCUCGACUCCAAGUAGUCAAGCACGUCGAGUAUUUGUUCAUAUCCCACUAUGCUCGACAUGCUUGACUUGUUGAGCAUGUUGAGAGAAGUUCGCGAUUCGAGCAAUGUAGAACAAACACACGAAUCUUCGAAAUAUAUCAACUGCAAUUCAAAAAUGUUGUUCAUAAACCAUAAAAAUAGUUUUAAUAACAAUAACUACUAUAUAGAAGACCUCAAUAUAGCUUUCAAACCAUCGGAUUAAGUACGGAUCGAAGAAACCCAAUAUUGAAGAAGAAGAUUUCUAGGUUUUGAAGAUAAAUAUUUGUGAAGUUUUAUUUUGUGUUUGAUUUUCAAUUUGCAGAGGCAGGAGGUCGCAGCGGAAGCGUGGUGCAGCUGGGCGGAGGGGGGAAGUCGGUGGAGGGGGGAGGAGAGAGAGAGAGAAGAGGAAGGGGCUGCGAUUUGGGGUAGGGGAAGGGUGCUUGUUUGGAAAUUCUUGUUUCUGUAAGGGUAUAAGUGUCAAGUUUUUCAAAAAAUUGGUAUUAUUUAUAUAUUUUAGUUUGUGUGGGUGGGUAUUUUUUUGUUUUUAUCUUUGAGAAUGGGUAUUCUCUACCAUAUGAAAUAUUUUUAAAAGCUCUUGUUUGUUUUUUUUUCCUCUAAAAAAAGGUGACUUGAACUCUCAACCUAUUAAUUAGAGAAGAAACGUCUUAACAAUUGAGUUGCGUUUUAUUGUCAAGAGACAAAGUACAUUAGGGGAGAUUUAAUUUAGAAACAAGAUAAAUUUAAUUUAUGAAAUUAACGAUGACAUUAGUGUCAUGAUUGAUUCAAAUAUAUUUGAUUAAUUAUCCAUAAAGAUAGAAUAAACUCAGCCUUUCCUCUCUUAUUUGUUUUAGUUUUUGUAUAUUUAGAAUUUUUGUGGAUAUUUUCACUAAAGUGAAUUAUAAUUUAAGUUUUUCGGAUCCUUUAUCCACAAUUUUUUGUUUAUCACUAUUACUUUUACUAUUUAAAAAAGAUUGUUACAAAAAUGAAAAUAAUAUUAACUCCAUCCGAUCACAACAGUAUGCACUUUUGCUAUUUGGAUAUGUCACAUAAAAAUGUAAAAACAUGCACAUCUAAUUUUUGAACAUUAUCUCACCAUAAAUUCAUUAAUUUUUAUUUCUAUUUUUGUCAAUUUAUUUACAAUUUAAUUUACCACACAUGGCCAAUACAACUACUCCAUUUUUUAUUUCUACUAUCACAAUAGUACAAUAAAAAUACACAGUUAUCAAACAUUUGUUAAAACUUGUCGUAACUUAAUGUGCACUCUAUUUCGAGACUGAGGGAGUAUUAUAAAAUAGAUCUAAUUAAUAUAUCUAUUACAUAUAAAUAUUGGCAAUUUUUUUAUAUAUAUUGUUGUGGAAUUGCUUGAAUGAUCAACGCAGCAAAAAUAGAAAAGAAAUGAACACAAACAAGAUUUACGUGGUUUGGAGUUUUCAAUCCUACAUCCACGGAGAAGAAGCGAUCCACUCUAUUUCACUAUGAACACUCAAGAACUUUACAAUUACAAUUGAGAACUCUCAACACUAGAAGAAGUGUAUAGCCUACAAAUCUAUCAAGAUCGCUAUGUAUCCUCACUUUCAACUAGUUUACAGUAAUGGAAAUUCUUAAGCAACAACUCAACAACUAAUCUAGGUAUUUAAACAAGAGAAAUAGCAGUUGAGAAGAUUUGAGCUGCGCGUCGACUUCUGGAAUGAAGGAACAGAUCCGUUGGAUCUGUUUUAACUAACCUAAAACUGAACUCCCUUAACUCUUGCAUAUUUGCUAACUGAUCCCUCAGCUAUAGACUAACCACCCUUGCAUAUUCUACCAGUCAGAGGAAUCGAAUGCCAGAGCAAAGAAAUCAAGACGCCAGAGGAAUCAGGCCGAGUACAAAGCAUAGAAUACAUGAUGCUUCCUACCACAUUUGCAUAAGGAAUAACACUCAUGUCUUUAAGCUCUUCACUAGUAACAGGACAUUGACUACUAGACAGCUUAACAUGUUGAGCUAUAGGAACCUGAGCAACUUUUGCUUCAUUCAUAUUGAAUUUUAACAAUACUUUCUUCAAGUAAUCAGAUUGAACAAGCAUAAGUUUCAUAUUUUUCCUAUCUCUCUUGAUAUCCAUACCAAGAAUUCUUCUAGCAACCCCUAGAUCUUUCAUAUCAAAUUCAGUACUCAAUGAUUGCUUUAAUUUAUCAAUUUCAGUACUAGAACUACUAGCAAUAAGCAUAUCAUCAACAUACAAGAGUAAGUAAACAACCACAGACUUAGCAACUUCUUUCAAGUCUUGGACUUUGCUUCAGUCAAACCUUUUAUUCCACUGUCUUUGAACAUGUUCUCUUGAAACCUAUACUUAUCAUGAAUUCAUCAAACCUUUUAUUCCACUGUCUUGGACUUUGCUUCAGUCCAUACAAAGACUUUUUCAAGAGACAUACCUGACCUUCACAGCCAGCUACUUCAAAUCCCUCUGGUUGAUUCAUGAAUAUAGUUUCUUCUAACUCACCAUUUAGAAAGGCUGUUUUAACAUCCAUCUGUUGCAAUUCUAAAUCUCGGUGUGCAGUUAGAGCAAGUAUAAGUCUAAUAGAACAGUGUUUGACAACAGGAGAGAAUAUUUCAUUAAAAUCUAUACCUUCUUGCUGAGAGAUACCUCUAGCAACUAACCUGGCUUUAUACCCGAUGAUCUCUGCACCAUUAUGAACCUCCACAUUUUUCUUGUAUAACCAUCUACAUGUUACACAUUUCUGGUUCUUAGGUCUGUCAACCAAGAUCCAAGUCUUAUUUUUCAAUAAAGACUCUAUUUCCUCUUCCAUAGCUUUGAUCCAUUGCUUGCUUUCAGAGCACUGAAUUGCUUCUUUAUAGGACUUAGGCUCUUUGUAAUUUACCUCUUCAGCUACUGAGAAAGCAAAGCUAACUUGAUCUGCUUCAGAGUAUCUGGCUGGAGGUCUGGUAAUUCUCCUAGCUCUGUCACGAGCUAGAUGAUAAUCACUGAGAUCCUCAGUGUUAUCCUUUUGUUGAUCAUCUUCCUCCUGUUUUAUACCUGUCACUUCUGAUACUCUAGACAUUUCAUUAUUAAUAGGUGUGUUAUCACUAGUUUUAUCAGUGUUUACUUCAACUCCUUUACUAGUAUACUCAGUAGUAGAUUGCUCUUUUAGAGGCAUUAUGUUUUCUUUAAACACUACAUCUCUACUGACUAGAAGUUUUCCCUUUCCAGAUUCUAUGCACCAGAGCCUAUACCCUUUAACCCCUGUUGGAUAUCCCACCAUAACACAUUUCAAUGCUCGGGGUUCCAACUUAUCCUGCCUAACAUGCAUAUAUGCUAAUCAUCCAAAUUUUCUCAAGUUUGAGUAAUCAGCAGCCCUACCAGUCCACAGUUCUUCAGGAGUUUUAAACUCAAUAGCACUAGAAGGGCAUCUAUUUAUAAGAUGAGCAGCAGUGGUGACUGCUUCUCCCCAAAAUUUUGGUGGCAAACCUGAGCUGGAGAGUAUACACCUAACUCUCUCAAGGAGAGUUCUAUUCAUUCUCUCUACAACCCCAUUCUGUUGGGGAUUUCCAGGUACUGAUUUAUGUCUUUUAAUUCCCCUAUCUUUACAAUAUUCUUGAAAAUUUUCAGAGGUGAAUUCUAAGCCAUUGUCAGUCCUUAAGCAUUUCAACUUACAUCCCUUUUCAUUCUCAACAGCACUACACCACUCAACAAAUUUAUCAAAGGCAUCAGACUUGUGUUUUAAAAUGUAAACCCAGACUUUCCUAGAGAAAUCAUCUAUUAGAGACAUGAAAUAUAAUCCUCCACCUAUAGUGGUGGUUUUGGAUGGACCCCACAGAUCACAAUGAACAUAUUGAAUAGGUGCAGAUGAAACAUGUUUGCCAACAGGAUAUGGGAGUUUCUUGCUUUUACUUAGUUCACAUGCAUCACAAGUGUUCAGUUUUUCAUCAGCAGAUAAACUCAAUAUACCCUGUUUCCUUAGUUCAAUUAACCCUUUUUCACUAACAUGCCCAAGUCUCUCAUGCCACAAUUCAAUAUCACGCGUAGAGGCAAUUUCAGACUCACCAACAAUAGUUUCACUACAAGAAUUAAGCACAUAGACAACACAAAAUAGACAACAGAAUUUUAUAAAUUUGUUGUCAAUUAUUAUAUAGACAACAUCAAUGGCUAAAACUGUUGUCUAUAACUAUAUAAAAAUGAGGCCAUAGACAACAAAGUUUAAAAUCUGUUGUCUAUGACAGCUCUUAGACAAUAUUUCUUAAUAGCCGUUGUUUAUUAACACAAUACACAACGGUUUCUCCUCUAUUUGUUGUCUUUAUUUAACACAUAUAGACAAGUAUUUUCAAACUUCGUUGUAUAUGUAUAUAACUAGACAACAGAGUUUUAAAACACUUGUGUAAUUUAAUUAAAGAAAAGGUGAAAAGUCGAAAAUUGGCAAAACAAAAAUACAAAAAUAAAAGGAAAAGCCCCAGUAGUCUACUACAAUUUAGAAGACAACCACUUGUCGCCGCUCCUUACCCACGCCGUGUCGCCGCUCCUUACCCACGCCGUCGCCGGUCAUUUCCCACGCCGUCGCUGCCAUUUUCUCAUCCUGGCGCCUCCACUUUCACCAACCUGACGACGCCGCCUCCCUUCUACCAUAACCCACUACAUCUCCACCUAAAUCUCCCUCUCUCUAUCACGGCGAUGUUGCCGGCUACCUUCCGGACGAGCUGGGCCUGCUGAUCUAUCUGGCGCUCUGCCACAUUAACUCCAACAGAUUCUACGGCCUCGUUCCGGAAUACCUUCUACAUUCCAGUUCCAGAUAUUAUUUUGGGGCGUUUCAGAUUUCUCACUUCUCUUAAGGGGUUUGACUAAAAAAGAGAGGAGAAAUUCCUGACAAAUUUCAACUUCUGCUAGCUGAAAUUCUGCAAUGGAAAGGUAAUUUUAUAUUUUCUGGUUUGUUGGAAUUCUGUUCGUGAUUGAAUUUCUCUUUCUGCUGAAUCUAGGGUUUCUGAACAGUACGAAUUUUAAUUUCGAGUGCAAUUGUUCAUUUUUUGUGUUUGAAUGAUCUCAUAUCCACUGUACAGACCUAGUUUUACUUAAACUUCUCUUAGUUUCUGAUUCGUUACUUUUAGCCAUUUUUGGUGUGUUCUUAUGGUUGCUUGAUUUUUUCUGUCUCAAUCCUUACUUUUGAAGUAAGUUUACGUCGUGUGCCAGUUUUUGCCCCAGCAUUUGCGGAUUUGGCACAAUGUGUUAUCCCGCAGAUUACAGCUUGUCUGUACUCUACUGAUUUUAAUAUAUUUUCUUGCUAUUUUGGCCAUUGAUGUUGAGGGAAUCACUAAUUUAUACUUCAAUGUUGAAAUGGAAAGAACGCAAGACUUACUAGCUCAAACUUGCUAGUUUAGGCUGUGUUGUGAAGCUGGAAUAUUUACAGAUGCAAAUGUCGCUUGGGUUCUAGAUUACCUACUUCUAGAAGUCAUAAGCGUAAUUUGAUCUUAUAUGCAAAAUAAUAGUAUUUGGCAAACAAAUUGAUAUAGGCAUAUAGCUUUAUUGGAUAAGUACCUUGUUCUUUGUAAUUUUUCUAAGCUGGGCAUUGUGCAGUGAAACACCCAAUUAAGCUUCUGCGCAGCUGAAACUUUGGAAACAAAUUACUUUUUUUUUCAGUUGAAUUCUUACUUGAUGCCCCAUUCUACUUUUAGUUACCAUUUGCCUUUAAUUGUUUUAUAAAUCUCUCAAGAUGGUUUUCCAGCAACAUGUUAAGCACAACUGAUCCUAGUUUCUUUAUCACAUGAAUUGAAAUCCUGGUGUAGACGAGCAGAACCUCUAUUUUCGAAGCUAUAGAAGAAGUAUCAGACUACAAGUUGCCAUCUCAGAGCAGGAUGAAGGGCAGCGCUGAUGGAAAAACUGUAGGCCCAUCAGGCUGUAUGGAAAUCGUUCACACUACAAAUUUCUUGAUUUUGGUUGCUAUUUCUUAUAGUCUAUUAGACCUGUUCAUUGGGGAUUACUAUGAUGGCUCUACAUGCUUAUCACUCUAUAUUCUCAUUUUGUUCGUUCCUCAAGAAUAGCUGGUCAUUAGCACGGAUCUAAAAGGCUUCUCAUAUAUUUUUUGCUAUUUUCUAUUGUGUAGGUUGAUGUUAUGCUCUAAAACCUUGAAAAGGAUACUGAUGUUGUAGAUGCCAAAAUUGGUGAUAGGUAAUUUUACCAGAGCACUAUUAAUAAAGCUAUAUAAGUUUUUAUUGUAAGCCUACUAAUCCCUUAUCAUUACCUUCAAGCAAGGUUCUACGUGUUUGACUGAAAGAUUGUAGUUAUGAUGGGCACAUAUUAUCUUCUAAAUUGUUUUACUUUAUUGGAUGUAUUUAUUGUCUUCGAUUAGAUCUAAUGUGAAAAAUCACACUAAACGGAUGUUAUCCGGGGAAGCUAAUAUUUCCUUAAUUUUAUUGAAUAAUUUUAUGGCCAGGAAUUGUUAUGACAAAGUGACUCCAGAGAGGUUGCAUCUGCUGCUUCGUACCUCAAAGCUACCUUAGAUAAGGAGGGAAUUUAAGAAUUUAUUGGCAAAUUGUCCAAAGAUAGAGGUCAGUUGUGUUACUUAUCUUCCCCAGUCUGGUUUAGUACUGAAAACUUAUAAUUGUUGUCAAAACUAUCCUCUACUAUAAAUAAAGUAAGUAAACAGCUGUUUGUUUGCAUAUUCUAGAUUUAUCUGUUGUGGCAAUGCUGCUAUAUCCCAAUCAUAAUUACAUGUAUGGGAACAAUUAUGUUAAUUAGCUAAGAAUUUGCGGAGCUUAAAUGCUUAAUAAUAAAAUUUCAAUUGUAUCGUUAUCAAGAACAUGUUACUAUAGAUUAAAAUUGGAAAGUGCCCUCAAGCAUGCUUGCUUCUUCAUUCAUUCAGUGAAUCUACUUUAUGCGGAAAAAGAAAAAGUAGUGCACCAUUUUGAGAAAGAUGUAUAUUAUCACUCAAAGAAACAAUAAUAAAAAAUCAAAUGUGGAAUAUAGGAGCAUCAAAUCUAUUUAGAAUUUAGUGUAAGUUUGCUGCUCGCUGCUUUCUUUAUUCUAUUUCUUCUUUACCAUCCUUUGUGAUUUCAUUUGAACUAUGAAUUUUUCUUGGUUUUAAGCUGUCUUUGACUUUAAUGUCCAGCGUAUCACUGAUGAAUUUCGGAAAGAGUGAGCCAAGUUUGUUGGUAAGAGUGAUGAUGAAGGUAAAUUUGAUAUAUAUUUCUUUUGUUUCAUAAUUUUAGAGAUUUAAGUGAUUCUAAAUCUUAAAGUCAUAUUUUCUUUUGUUCAUGUAGAUGGAAGCUAGUUGGAUGGUUGAAUUUGUUGGAUGAAUGGUGGUGAAUGUUGAAGGUUGGAGAUUGUAUUGAAGGUUGGAGAUUGUAUUAGAGGUUUUUUAGCAGAUAAAUGAAGGCGUAGUUAGAGAUGAUACAAUUAUGAAUGUAAUGUCUUUUGAUGAAAUACCAAACAAGAUGUUUGACUUUUAUGAUAUUAAUCGAGUUUUUAUUAAUUAUUUUUUAGUAUUGUUUGGUUAUUUGAUGUUUAAGUAUUUUAAUUUUGUCACAUAUAUUGGUAUUACAAAAUAAAGGAUUUGAAUAUUCUAGAAAAAUAUUUUAAAUUUUGUCAUAGAACAGACAACAAUCAUUAUUUGUUGUAUAUAAUAACAUAGACAAUAGAUAUUAUAUGUUGUCUAUAACCGCUAGGUCUAUUGUAUAUAACGUUAUAGACAACAGUCAUUAACUGUUGUCUAUGUUAAAAUAGACAACAUAUAAUAUAUGUUGUCUAUGAGAGCCCCAGAAUAGACAACACCGACGACAACAACAGAUUUUUCCACAUAGACAACACUAAAUAUAUGUUGUCUAUAAGCUAAAUUCUUGUAGUGUUUCAGCAACUAAAUGAUACAAAGUCUGUUUUCUGGUUCCUUUCAACACAAUUUUAUCUUCCUUUAAAACAUAUAUAUCAUUAACACAUGAUUUAAACUCAUAGCCUUUCAUUUGUAGUGAUCCAAGGGAUAUCAAAUUCCUUUUUAGACUAGGAAUAUAUCUAACUUCAGUUAGGAGUCUUACAGNGUUGUAUAUAAUAACAUAGACAAUAGAUAUUAUAUGUUGUCUAUAACCGCUAGGUCUAUUGAUAUAACGUUAUAGACAACAGUCAUUAACUGUUGUCUAUGUUAAAAUAGACAACAUAUAAUAUAUGUUGUCUAUGAGAGCCCCAGAAUAGACAACACCGACGACAACAACAUAUUUUUCCACAUAGACAACACUAAAUAUAUGUUGUCUAUAAGCUAAAUUCUUGUAGUGAAUUAAUCUAAUAUAUCCUAAUUAAUUUAUUUAUUACAUAUCUUAUUUUACAGGUGUUAAUUAUUUAUAAUCAAGCAUGUGUGUUAAAUGGAGAGUUUGAAGGUCUUUUUUAUGACAGUGACUUAGAUUAAUUUAAAUAUUAGGAUAAAAAUUUGUUGGCUUGUAAAAGUAUACACCAAUUAAUAAAUGAUGCACCCAUAUGAUAAUUAUCAAUCCAUUUUAAGAGGUUUGAGCUUACUUGCACCGAUCGAGCACAUGACUAUGCCCACAAGUCCACAAUAAUCAAAGUAAAAUCCAAAACUCUUAAAAUAUGCUGAGUAUAGUCCUAUGAGUGCAUUAUUUAUUAAUUAACGUCCUACUUUUAUAAAUUCAAAUUCUUUUAUCAUAAUUUUCAAAUUAAUUUAAGUUAUCGUUCUUAAAAACCCUCUAACUCGUUAAAUGGACGUCAGAUUAUGGAGAGUUACACUAUUCAAAAAAAGUUGAAUCAUGGCAUUAAUAAAUGUGUGUUAAUGAAAUUAGAAUAGUAUAAGUAAAAUGUAGUGGUAUAUUAUAUCAUGCAACUGAAAGAAAGAAUACUAGUCAAUGUAACUGAAAGAAUUCACCAACAUAACCCGGCAUUAUUUAAGGAAUGUUCUCGAUUUCAUUUUCUUUAUUUCCUUUUUAAGGGGAAAAUGUCAUCACUCUUUUAAUCAUCAAAUUUGUUGCAUCUUGUAUAGUUGUAUUAGUUGUCUUAAUAAAUUAUAUAUAUGAUGUUAUUCAAUACUUACAAUUAAUAAAAGUGUUAUGUACUCCACUUAAAAAUAAUAGUAUUAAUUAUAUUUUAAAGUGGUGAAAACAUCCAUCAUGUAGUAGAAAUAUAGAAUAGGUAAAUAAGUCAAUAUAUAAACGGUAAUCUAUCAUAGAGUAAUGAAUAAAAUAGAACUAUUUUAUGUGGGUAUCACAAAAAAAAAAAGAAAAUUAUGACUUUUUAGGACCCAGAGAGUAGCUUGAAUUUUGACAUUAUAUUGAUUUUUCGUUUGAAAUUAUACUUUCUCUGUCUACUAAAAUUAUGUUACUAUUAUUAUUUUUGACGUUCACCAAAAGUAUCAAACACUUAGACUUUUAAGUUUUGUCAUUCACGGUGGGAAAGAUUGGUGUUGCGUCAUUUAUUUGGAAGUCAAAGCUAACAAGUGUACAAAACGACGUCGCUUUAUGUUUCCUCACAACUUGAGACCACCUGCAAAUAUGGCGGCAAAAGCUUCCAUUCUCUCCAAUGGCAACGACAUACCGAUCUCCAAUCCGCCGUCGGAAUCCCUAGAAUUGCACAACGACAUCGUAUAACUCUCCGCGUCAAUCGACACCACCUCCACCUUCCUCCCCUUCCCCCACCCGAAAUCCGCCUUAUACAGAUCGAAUUUAGGCGAAUCACUCACCAAAAAACUCCUCAUCCCGAUAUAUUUCAUCAUUUCCCCCGGCCAGCCCUCCGCCCCCUUCAGAAACUCAUCCUUGUCAUGAAUUCUGCGCUUGAUUUCCCCGCCGAUUGCCUCCGCCGCCGCCGGAAACCC
RNAcentral lists this long non-coding RNA (13665 nucleotides) under Salvia miltiorrhiza (redroot sage). Its description in RNAcentral is "long non-coding RNA (SMIL_LNC007320)". Lineage: Eukaryota; Viridiplantae; Streptophyta; Magnoliopsida; Lamiales; Lamiaceae. The record is from RNAcentral.